RNAcentral lists this ribosomal RNA (228 nucleotides) under uncultured soil bacterium. RNAcentral describes it as "partial 16S ribosomal RNA". It matches the Rfam family "Bacterial small subunit ribosomal RNA", at positions 26 to 250 of the family's 1533-position model. The record is from RNAcentral.
AGAGUGAACGCUGGCGGCAGGCCUAAUACAUGCAAGUCGAACGGCAGCACAGCAGAGCUUGCUCUGUGGGUGGCGAGUGGCGGACGGGUGAGGAAUACAUGGGAAUCUGCCCAGUCGUGGGGGAUAACGUAGGGAAACUUACGCUAAUACCGCAUGCGCCCUUCGGGGGAAAGCCGGGGACCUUCGGGCCUGGCGCGAUUGGAUGAGCCCAUGUCGGAUUAGCUAGUU